Molecule: ribosomal RNA, 610 nt
Filed under: Frankia sp. RG-2005.3
Lineage: Bacteria; Bacillati; Actinomycetota; Actinomycetes; Frankiales; Frankiaceae
Description: bacterial SSU rRNA
Rfam family: Bacterial small subunit ribosomal RNA
Source: RNAcentral
GCUGGCGGCGUGCUUAACACAUGCAAGUCGAACGAUGAACCCUUCGGUGGGGAUUAGUGGCGAACGGGUGAGUAACACGUGGGCAAUCUGCCCUUCACUCUGGGACAAGCCCUGGAAACGGGGUCUAAUACCGGAUACGACCAUCAGGGGCAUCCCUUGGUGGUGGAAAGCUCCGGCGGUGAAGGAUGAGCCCGCGGCCUAUCAGCUUGUUGGUGAGGUAAUGGCUCACCAAGGCGACGACGGGUAGCCGGCCUGAGAGGGCGACCGGCCACACUGGGACUGAGACACGGCCCAGACUCCUACGGGAGGCAGCAGUGGGGAAUAUUGCACAAUGGGCGAAAGCCUGAUGCAGCGACGCCGCGUGAGGGAUGACGGCCUUCGGGUUGUAAACCUCUUUCAGCAGGGAAGAAGCGAAAGUGACGGUACCUGCAGAAGAAGCGCCGGCUAACUACGUGCCAGCAGCCGCGGUAAUACGUAGGGCGCAAGCGUUGUCCGGAAUUAUUGGGCGUAAAGAGCUCGUAGGCGGCUUGUCACGUCGAUUGUGAAAGCUCGGGGCUUAACCCCGAGUCUGCAGUCGAUACGGGCUAGCUAGAGUGUGGUAGGGGAGAUC